AGUGAACGCUGGCGGUUGGCCUAACACAUGCAAGUCGAACGAGUGGCGGACUGGUGAGGAAUACAUCGGAACCUACUUUGUCUUGCGGGAUAACGGAGGGAAACUUACGCUAAUACUGCAUAAGACUUAAUGCGCCGAGGGCGGAUUAGCUAGUUGGCGGGGUAAAGGCCCAACAAGGCGACGAUCCUUAGCUGGUCUGAGAGGCUGAUCAGCCACACUGAAACUGAGACACGGUCCAGACUCCUACGGGAGGCAGCAGUGGGGAAUAUUGGACAAUGGGCGCAAGCCUGAUCCAGCAAUACCGCGUGGGUGAAGAAGGCCUUCGGGUUGUAAAGCCCUUUUGUUGGGAAAGCGGUACCCAAAGAAUAAGCACCGGCUAACGUCGUGCCAGCAGCCGCGGUAAUUC
Molecule: ribosomal RNA, 406 nt
Filed under: uncultured bacterium
Lineage: Bacteria
Description: partial 16S ribosomal RNA
Rfam family: Bacterial small subunit ribosomal RNA
Source: RNAcentral